Molecule: transfer RNA, 72 nt
Filed under: Candidatus Amesiibacteriota bacterium
Lineage: Bacteria; Candidatus Amesiibacteriota
Description: Candidatus Amesbacteria bacterium tRNA-Arg
Rfam family: tRNA
About the family: Transfer RNA (tRNA) molecules are approximately 80 nucleotides in length. Their secondary structure includes four short double-helical elements and three loops (D, anti-codon, and T loops).
Source: RNAcentral
GCCUUCUUAGCUCAAUGGAUAGAGCGUCGGCCUCCGAAGCCGCAAAUGUGCGUUCAAUUCGCACAGAAGGCA